CAGCAACUUUCAGUCAUCGCACUACAGAUGGUAGUGUGCCCUUUCGGCUCUUCAGCCCAGCACACACACUGAAAGUCUGACUGGACACAGUGAAAAGGCAGCCACUGCCAACUAUGAAGAAAGCCCUUAUCAGAAAGUGACCAUGCCAGCACCCUGAUCUUGGACUUCCAGCCUCCAGAACUAAAGUCCAAAACCCCUGGUGAAAGUUUCAAUUAUCUAGAGGUGUACAUCUGAACCAACCAGAAGAUCCCUAUUUUUUCUACGGUAGGAAAUAUGCAGCUGCUCAAGUACUACUAGACAUGACACAUUCGACUUUCACCCACCCACCUUUGAACCUUCAAAAAACGUUUGCUAAAAAGAAUGUGUUUUUAAGUCCCCCCCCCCUUUUUGCACUCACUCCCUGAAGUAGGAGAAAUAUUAGGAAAUUUACUCUUCCACUCAACAGCUCUCACAUGAGCCUUCAAGAAGCUACGCUUAUGAGAGAAGCAUGAACCCAGCGGAGGAGAGCUCCGGAGGGGUCACCGUGUAUGACAGUCAACUUUAUAUAUUCACACUUCAGGCAUCUUAUUCAAACCAACUGCAGAAGCCUGAUUUGUUCUUUCGAAAACAUUACGCUGACUUCAAUUUAGACAUUUCUAUUUUGGUGCAGCUAGACUACACAGGAGUGUGUUCCUCUACCAUUUAGUAAUUUAGAUACUUUCAAUAUUAUUGCUAACUGACUCUUGAGGUAUAAGAGCCUUAAUUAUGUUGGUUUAAUAUUUUGUGCUUAAAUAUUGUUAUUUGUAAACUAA
Long non-coding RNA from Prionailurus viverrinus (fishing cat), 791 nucleotides. RefSeq lists it as uncharacterized. Lineage: Eukaryota; Metazoa; Chordata; Mammalia; Carnivora; Felidae. The transcript is spliced from 3 exons. The record is from RefSeq and is a predicted model, not a curated record.